AAAAUUUAAAGAGUUUAUUUUCUUUAAAAAUAAUUAAGGAAUUUAUUUGUAUUUUCUGGAUAUAAUACCGGCUAAAAUCUUACAUAUUUUAACCGACUAGUCGAAAGUGCGGGUUAAUAGUGAUACCUUGAAAGAGUAAGAUUUUUAGCGGGUUGUGGGGAAAUACCAUUGUGAUACCCGAGCCUAGGUAUCGAGACCUUAGGAUAGGUCUCCCCGAGACUUAGGGUUUAGUCUCGAAUAUUUUGUAUAACUUUCCUUAAUAGGUUUAAAACCAAAUAAGGAUUGUAAAUCCUUACAAAUGACUUUUAUUAAAAUGACCAAACUGCCCAAAAUAAUAAUAAUGAAUUAUUAGUGCCAUAAUUAAUCCGAGUAUACUGUAUGGAUAACUACAGUAUUGGCUAAGCGUAACUGGACUGAACGUUGGAGGGUGAAAACUUGCUGAGCGCUAAGGACUCCAAGUAAGUGCAAGGGCAAGGCAGAGCAGUGAGCGCUGGAGUCUUCCUUGCAAAUGUACAUGUGGACCGACCUUUUGGGAAGCCGUUUUAUUUUUGGAAAUGUUGUGUAAUUUUCCUAAACAAGGCUCACUCUACUCUUUAUAAAAUAUGUUUGUAACUAAAUGUUAAGUAUGGCCAUACGACUUUUUAAAAAGUUUUUUUUUAUAUGGGUUUUUGAGACAUUUUGUUAAAUGAAAACAUUUAUAUUUCCGCA
Molecule: long non-coding RNA, 708 nt
Organism: Humulus lupulus (European hop)
Lineage: Eukaryota; Viridiplantae; Streptophyta; Magnoliopsida; Rosales; Cannabaceae
Exons: 2
Source: RefSeq, a predicted model, not a curated record